Physcomitrium patens is the source of this 2889-nucleotide non-coding RNA. Lineage: Eukaryota; Viridiplantae; Streptophyta; Bryopsida; Funariales; Funariaceae. The record is from RefSeq and is a predicted model, not a curated record.
CUUUGGGCUCAAUUCUUCUAGGGGAAUUCCCCAUCGUGUGAAGUAAUAGUCCUCGGUUGAAGGUGAAAUAUCUGGAGGUAAGCUGCGUAGAAACUUUUUGACGUCAAACUGGGAUCCAGGCAAGUCUUCUGUUGAAGUUUGCAUGUGGUUACGGUGGUCUUGAUUACCAUCAGGGUUCUAGUAUCAACCUGUCCAAAAUUGCAUCUCGUCGCUGCCACCGAAAGAGAACGGUGUCGCCCAUUGCUCUGAAGCAGAGAAAUUGAGUUUUGUUAAUCAACAUGUGGCUCGAUUUGCGAGGGCGUAUUUACGACCACUACAGCGGCUUUUGAUCACUAUUUGGACAUGGUGCUUUGAAAAUGUUUUGACAUAUGAGCCGAAUAUGUCCAGUUGUAGACGCGCUCAUUCAAGUGAUUGCGGCUUGUGAAGCGCGGAAUUGCGCAUGUUCAACUUCAGACGAAAGCGGAUCGUAAACUUCAAUCAGUGAAACCCUAGGGUUACAUGUUAUUCCAAAGUGUGAGUUGUUUUGCUUUGCGGGGAUGGUGAGCGAGCAGGAGCCCGUUGUGCGAGAAGCGUUACGCGAAGCCCGUAAAGUGCUGUCCUCAGUAAAACGUCCAGAUGCAACUCAAGACAGUGGAGCAACUGAGCGAGUUUUGGAAUGUACCUUCCGGCUUCUGGAGAGUGUUUAUUCAUCAAUAGACAAUGGCAAGAGUACGGUACUCAGUUCCUCAGAUACUACUGUUGUGAAGGCCAUCUUGGAGCUAGUGGUAAGGUGGGGGAUAUACCCUCAUUUGAGUCCUGGAGUGGGCAUACCCUUGGAAAAACGUUUCGGGGAAAAAUCGGCAGCCUCUGCAGCAGCUGCGUUGAAGGAACAUGUCUCAGGUGAAGGUUCCGGCUCCUCUGUAGGGCUUGUUGGAGCUCAAAUGUCCAAAGACGCACCAUCUCUUCUCCAGUCUGCGGAGCUCUUGGCUGGUCUCAUUCUAGACAGCCCUCAGAAGAUUAACUCAGAACCAUCUGGCUUGGAUGCAACGUCAAUUGGACAAUGUAGCGAGCCGAGCAAUCCUACGGAGAAAGGAGGAGAAACACUUACUGAGGCGACUAACCUUCCAGCAGCAGCUCUACAUCAGCUUGUUAUGUUUCACCAUCUCCCUGACCUUUGUGCAGCAUUUAUUCAGCUCUCUCUUUCAGGCAAAGAUGAAUGGAAGAAGCUCGCGACAGAAAGGAUAAACCAAAUGGUCAAAGUUCUGCCUGUUGCUCACAUGGUCGAAGCCCUCUUAACGCUGCUUGGGCAAAAAGAACCUGGUCCUCCUCAUUGGUUAAAAGAAAAUGCAGGAAGGAUGUUAUCUAAGCUCGUGAUGAGAAGAGGAGGGGUAGCGGCUUCUAUGGAGAGGCUUGUUGGGGGCAUACAAGAGGGAAAUGUGAAAGCAUAUGAGCACAUUGCUUUGCAUCUGGCCAAAGUUCCGAGAUAUGUUGCCACGACACAGGAAUACUAUGAAGCGAUAUCCCCACAACUGCCACCCCUGAUCCUAGCUCCUCUGCCAGGGCAAGAGGGUGGUCUUAAGGAAGGAACUUUGGCAGCACGUUUGGUUGUGAACAUGCAUCAUACAGCCAUUAUAAUGGCCUGUAAAUUAGCUUCCCGUGAUAUCAAGCUCUUUGGAGAGUAUCUACUAAUUCCUUGGCUGAAACCUUUGGUCUUUUGGGGGAUGCUAGCGCAAGGAGAGGGACAGCUUGAGCUUGAUACGAAAACCAAAGUUGUUGAUAAUGUUUCUCCUAGACAGUCUGACAUGCAAGGUGCUACUCUGGAGGAUGGCUGUUACGAAUCAGAAGAAAAUAUGGAACUGUUGCUAGUAAAUGCGUUGAUUGGCACACAUAUCUUUUUGACGGCAGGACAUGAAGGUGCUGAUUCUGUACGAAGUUUUUUAGUACCACUGAUUGAGCCGACAAGUGAAGCUCUUUUGUCGUUGAAGGUUUUAUUAGAACCUACAAGAGGGAAAUUUAGGUCAAAGCAGGUUAAACGAGAAGGAACAUUUCAACCCAUCGCCGAAGGACUAGGAUCUGCUGAACGGGCUCACAAGAGUGAGAGUGGAGCAACGUCAACAACUUCUAAAUCAGACUUUGAAAAGGGAUUUCUGGAACAUUCUUCAUUAGGUUACGCUCAUGUGGAAGGACCCUCAAGUAUUUUAGACAGGCUGAGGGCUGCUUUAUCUGAUAUUGUAGAUCUUCUACAUGAGGAACGAUCGGAAUCUCCAAGUGUUCUCCCACCUUCAGUUCUGAAUGCUGUUAAGAUGAAGUGGCCGAGGCAUAAUGGUAACAUAUGGGAUGCUUUAAAUUCUGACAGAUGAUGAUUCACAUUCUUUUCAGAAAGGCAUUAUGCUACAGCAUUAAAAACUACCACUUGAAGAAAAGGCAUGCCUAGUCUCUGAUAUUACACUGGAAACGAACACUAGUGUGCUGGAAGGAGCAACAACCAAAACGCAUUAAAAUAUAGUGAAUUUUCAAGGAAAGCAGUUCUAGUAGUCGAAUCUCUUCUUGAUAUCUUCAUUGACUGCCGGAUAUCAAACCUCAAGCAGUACUUGGGUUCAUUUUUAGGCUUUUCAGAAGAUUGGAGAAUGCUGAAUGGUGGCUUUUCAGAAGGUGGAUGCCAUCAGCUCAGUCCAAAGCUGAGCUAUUUGAGAAUGGAUGGGACCUUCAAUGAAUGAAGACUUGACUGAUACAGCAACGAUGUGAAGAAUUCUUCUCUUCACCAACUAGAGUUGAGGGAAUUUGGAAUAUUUAUUCUGUUCUGUUCAUGAGAACAAAUCCACAUGUGAUCCUUAUAUUAACAAGGUUAAGGAAUUUUUAAUGUAAAAAUACGUUAAACCAUAAUUGAGUCUACAUUGAAAUUAACAAGUC